AAUAAUAAUUCAUAAUAAUAAUAAUAAUAUAUACAAGAAUAAUUUUUUUUUUUUUUGUAGUUAAUUACUUUCGCAUACUGACCGUCCCUAAAAUAAGUGGCAAAAGACUGAAUGGUUAGUAUCCGAGACUCAAAUUCGAAUUCUAUUUGAUUCACAUUUCCAGCUAAAUUUAUUUCUAAAUAAAAUAAACGAAGCGGGUAGCGUGCUACCUAUCUCUUACAAAAAUUAAAAAAAAACUUUUGCAUCGUUUCCCAUCCUGAAAUGUAUCUAAAUUAACGAUCGGUGCAGUUUAAUAUAAUUUGAACUAUUUAAAUAUUGUAAAAAUUAAAUUUCCUCACUUUUUAGCAUUGUUAAUCUAGUGAUUAAAUGGUAUCAUAUUCAAUUUAUAGAAAUUUAACCAACGUAGAUCAAAUUUAACAGUGUUUAUCGUCGAAAACGGCACAGAAGUA
Molecule: long non-coding RNA, 449 nt
Filed under: Ananas comosus (pineapple)
Lineage: Eukaryota; Viridiplantae; Streptophyta; Magnoliopsida; Poales; Bromeliaceae
Description: long non-coding RNA (ACOM_LNC033941)
Source: RNAcentral